CUACAGGACAGCAGCGGAGCUCUGUGUCGCGGUGGUUCAUCUUAUUCAGCCCACAUCUCUCUGAGGUUCAACUGUUACAAUGAUCCAAUAGAAACGGCUUCAUUCACGCUCUGUCAGAGACAGAGAGAGAGAUACAGAGAGACAGAGAGAGAGAGGCAGAGAGAGAGGGAAUAGGAUCAGCCAUGGAGGACUAGGAAGAGGAUGACCCUGUGGUCUUGCCAAGGAUGAGCAGAGACGAGGACAGACGCUCCACUAUGAAUAAGGCCAAAAGGUAAGAAACCAGUAGAGUUAGGUUAUGGGGCAGACUGAGAGGGAUAAUUGGAGUAAUUCACUCGCUGCUCUGCUUCUUAACAAGUGUCCGAAUAAUAUCAUUAGUGACUAUUGGUGAGGUAGGGAGGCUGAACCAGGGUUUUGGUGCUUACAGAGGGUAGAAGUGCAGGGUGCAGUCAGUGUGAACUCUCUCUUUCUGUGGUGAUCUUAAACACUGUGGUUUGUGUCAGUUUCUAUGCUGAGGUAGACGUUAGGUUUCUGUUCUCUAACAGACAGAAACACAACCGUCACUAGACCAGUAGAAACAUGUUGUAAUGAACCUCCGUUCUCCGGCAGACAGAAACACAGCGGUCACUGUACUGAUAUUGAAGUACCGUAAUGAUUUUGAAGUACUGUACUGCAUCUUACAUCAUGCGUUUUGUUUUUUACAAAGAUGUAUUCACAGUCCUGGGGACUUUUUAGUAGCUUCCUUAUGCUUACUCAGCCAGACAGUGUCCUUGUGAGGGGGAACUAGCUACUGUGUGUGUGUGUGUGUGUGUGUGUGUGUGUGUGUGUGUGUGUGUGUGUGUGUGUGUGUGUGUGUGUGUGUGUGUGUGUGUGUGUGUGUGUGUAUGAUGAUGGUGUGUGUUUGACCUAAAUACCACUGAAGAAUGAUCCAGUGUGGUUUCAGCUCAAAUCAUUUGUAUCUAGUGAACACAAGCCCUGUCUGCUGCUAGCUGUCUGUCUGUCUGUCUGUCUGGAGAGAAAGACAGAGAGAGAGACAGAGAGAGAGAGACAGAGAGAGAGACAGAGAGAGAGAGACAGAGAGAGAGACAGAGAGAGAGACAGAGAGAGAGACAGAGAGAGAGAGAGAGAGAGAGAGAGACAGAUAAAGAGAGAGAGAGACAGAGAGAAAGAGAGACAGAGAGACAGAGAGAGAGACAGAGAGAGAGACAGAGAGAGAGAGAGAGACAGAGAGAGACAGACAGAGAGAGAGAGACAGAGAGACAGAGAGAGAGACAGAGAGAGAGACAGAGAGAGAGAGACAGAGACAGAGAGACAGAGAGUUGGCUUUAACAUUUUAAUAGCGUUUUGAGUUACAGGAGGUUGGUGGCACCUUAAUUAGGGAGGACGGGCUCGUGGAAAUGGCUGGAGCAGAAACAGUUGGAAUGGUAUCAAAUACAUCAAACAUGGUUUCCAUGUGCUUGAUGCCAUUCCAUUCGCUCCGUUCCAGACAUUAUUAGGAGGUCGCCUCCACUGGUGAGAAUAGCUGUAUAGCAUUGUGAAUAUAGUUCACCCAGGUGAGGUAUAUAACUGGUGGAGGAGUAUAGUUCAUCCAGGUGAGGUAUAUAACUGGUGGGGGAGUAUAGUUCAUCCAGGUGAGGUGGAGGAGUAUAGUUCAUCCAGGUGAGGUAUAUAACUGGUGGAGGAGUAUAGUUCACCCAGGUGAGGUAUAUAACUGGUGGGGGAGUAUAGUUCAUCCAGGUGAGGUGGAGAAGUAUAGUUCAUCCAGGUGAGGUAUAAAACUGGUGGAGGAGUAUAGUUCACCCAGGUGAGGUGGAGGAGUAUAGUUCAUCCAGGUGAGGUGGGGGAGUAUAGUUCAUCCAGGUGAGGUAUAUAACUGGUGGGGGAGUAUAGUUCAUCCAGGUGAGGUAUAUAACUGGUGGGGGAGUAUAGUUCAUCCAGGUGAGGUGGAGGAGUAUAGUUCAUCCAGGUGAGGUAUAUAACUGGUGGAGGAGUAUAGUUCAUCCAGGUGAGGUAUAUAACUGGUGGAGGAGUAUAGUUCAUCCAGGUGAGGUAUAUAACUGGUGGAGGAGUAUAGUUCAUCCAGGUGAGGUGGGGGAGUAUAGUUCAUCCAGGUGAGGUAUAUAACUGGUGUGUUGUGUAUGGUGUCUAUUAUAUCCUCUAUAGCAGGGCUUUGCCUGAUGGAAUAGCUCAGAUUCAUUAGACAAGCAGAAUAACUGUUAUUCCUUGACAAGGCAUGACAACCAUAUCAGACCAUUGGAGUUUGUAGUCAGAGCUAUUUCAGUAGAAGUUAUUUCAGUAGAAGCUAUUUCAGUAGAAGGUAUUUCAGUAGAAGGUAUUUCAGUAAAAGGUGUUUCAGUAGAAGGUAUUUCAGUAGAAGCUAUUUCAGUAGAAGGUAUUUCAGUAGAAGCUAUUUCAGUAGAAGUUAUUUCAGUAGAAGCUAUUGCAGUAGAAGCUAUUUCAGUAGAAGGUAUUUCCGUAGAAGGUAUUUCAGUAGAAGCUAUUUCAGUAGAAGGUAUUUCAGUAGAAGCUAUUUCAGUAGAAGGUAUUUCAGUAGAAGGUAUUUCAGGAGAAGCUAUUUCAGUAGAAGGUAUUUCAGUAGAAGGCAUUUCAGAAGAAGGUAUUUCAGUAGUUAAAGUACUAGAUGUAUUUCAUUGAGGUAGUUUGCAUGUUGCAUCAAAUCUUUUCAUGACUCUGUAAGCAGUGGUCAGUAUAAUAUUCUUGGGUUCACUUUACUGUGCUGUGAAAAUCUCUCCAUUUUAUUUUAGGCUGCAUCUAUUUGUAGAGCUAUUGUAGUAGAAAAUGUCUCUGUUUUGAUCCGUGUGUUUUCUGUUGUAGUUGAACUCAGCUCGUAUCAGAUUGCCUGGAACUGUGACGGUUGGUGAGGUGUUAAGGUGGACUGGAGGAAGUGAUCUGUAUCAGACUAUUAAGGUGGACUGGAGGAGUUUAACUGUGAGGGUUGGUGAGGUGUUAAGGUGGCCUGGAGGACGUGGUCUGUAUCAGACUAUUAAGGUGGACUGGAGGAGUUGUAACAAACAGUUGUUGGCAUGCUAACCUGUACAACAGGUCAAUUCAACUGGUUGAAUACAUAUUGAACUCUAUGAAUAACUUUUACAUGAGUUGGGGUCAUUUACCUUCUAGUUCCCUCACUUUAUUACCUGCUGCUUUUGUCCUUUUGUAGUUAUCAAGAAGUCCAUUCCAUUUCAAUUCAUCAUUCAAAGUCUAGAUAUAAAGUGAUAAGAGAAACCAGAGAGAUAGUAAGAGAGAACAAAGAGACAACAAAGAGAUAGAAAGAGAGAUAGUAAGAGAGAACAAAGAGACAACAAAGAGAUAGAAAGAGAGAUAGUAAGAGAGAACAGAGAGAGUUAGCGAGAGAGAGAAAAUAGAGAGAUACAAAGAGAGAUACAAAGAGAAAUACAAAGAGAAAUACAAAGAGAGAACAGAGAGAGUUAGCGAGAGAGAGAAAAUAGAGAGAUAGCCCAGCCAACCAGAGCCAUCUACCUCUAGUAGCCCAGCCAACCAGAGCCAUCUACCUCUAGUAGCCCAGCCAACCAGAGCCAUCUACCUCUAGUAGCCCAGCCAACCAGAGCCAUCUACCACUAGUAGCCCAGCCAACCAGACCCAUCUACCUCUAGUAGCCCAGCCAACCAGAGCCAUCUACCACUAGUAGCCCAGCCAACCAGACCCAUCUACCUCUAGUAGCCCAGCCAACCAGAGCCAUCUACCUCUAGUAGCCCAGCCAACCAGAGCCAUCUACCUCUAGUAGCCCAGCCAACCAGAGCCAUCUACCUCUAGUAGCCCAGCCAACCAGAGCCAUCUACCUCUAGUCUCCCAGCCAACCAGACCCAUCUACCUCUAGUAACCCAGCCAACCAGACCCAUCUACCUCUAGUAGCCCAGCCAACCAGACCCAUCUACCUCUAGUAGCCCAGCCAACCAGACCCAUCUACCUCUAGUAGCCCAGCCAACCUACAUCAGACCAGUAUUCUGCAGCAGGCCCUACCGUACUACCCACCUACAUCAGACCAGUAUUCUGCAGCAGGCCCUACCGUACUACCCACCUACAUCAGACCAGUAUUCUGCAG
Molecule: long non-coding RNA, 4078 nt
Filed under: Salmo salar (Atlantic salmon)
Lineage: Eukaryota; Metazoa; Chordata; Actinopteri; Salmoniformes; Salmonidae
Description: lncRNA (ENSSSAG00000098719.1, ENSSSAG00000107662.1)
Source: RNAcentral